RNAcentral lists this ribosomal RNA (466 nucleotides) under uncultured bacterium. Its description in RNAcentral is "partial 16S ribosomal RNA". It matches the Rfam family "Bacterial small subunit ribosomal RNA", at positions 28 to 507 of the family's 1533-position model. The record is from RNAcentral.
GAUGAACGCUGGCGGCGUGCUUAACACAUGCAAGUCGAACGAUGAAGCCCAGCUUGCUGGGUGGAUUCGUGGCGAACGGGUGAGUAACACGUGAGUAACCUGCCCUUAACUCUGGGAUAAGCCUGGGAAACUGUGUCUAAUACCGGAUAGGAGCGUCCCCCCCACGGUGGGGGUUGGAGAGAUUUAUCGGUUUUGGAUGGACUCGCGGCCUAUCAGCUUGUUGGUGUGGUAAUGGCUCACCAAGGCGACGACGGGUAGCCGGCCUGAGAGGGUGACCGGCCACACUGGGACUGAGACACGGCCCAGACUCCUACGGGAGGCAGCAGUGGGGAAUAUUGCACAAUGGGCGCAAGCCUGAUGCAGCGACGCCGCGUGAGGGAUGACGGCCUUCGGGUUGUAAACCGCUUUCAGUAGGGAAGAAGCGAGAGUGACGGUACCUGCAGAAGAAGCACCGGCUAACUACGUG